AAAAUAAACACCUAUAUACCCUGCAUUUAGAUUUACCAAUUGUUUACUUUCUACGUUUGUUUUACAUUUGUCUGUAAAUAUACAUACAUAUGCAUGUACAUAGUAUGUAUAUGUAUAUAAAAACAUUUUUCCUUAACCAUGAUUAUUUGCAGACACCCUGAGUAUUCCUUCCUAAAUACUUCAGCAUACAUUUUCUAAGAACAAAAACAUUUUAUUUCUUAAAUACAAUUGUCGUAUUUAGGACACUGAAUAUUGACAAAUAUUUGUAUACAUAUACACUUAAAAAAUUUUUUUUAUUUAGGAGAUGGGAUCUUGCUCUGUCACCCAGGCUGAAGAGCAGUUGCUCAAAUCACUGCAACUGAACCGAGCCUUCAACUGUUGGGUUCAAAUGAUCCUCACCACUCAGCCUCUUGAAUAGCUGGGACUACAGAUCUUUGCUGUUCACCUUCAAGCUGAGGACUUACCACUUUUCUUCGAUUAUGAAAAAUGCUCAGCCAAUAGCUAUUCAUUAAACAAAUAUUUAUGAGGUGUCAACAA
RNAcentral lists this long non-coding RNA (537 nucleotides) under Pongo abelii (Sumatran orangutan). Its description in RNAcentral is "lincRNA". Lineage: Eukaryota; Metazoa; Chordata; Mammalia; Primates; Hominidae. The record is from RNAcentral.